GCCCGCUUAGCUCAGUGGUAGAGCGCGCCACUCGUAUAAGCCUCUGGUGAUAUGGUGAGGUCGGUUGUUCAAACCAGCCAGCGGGCA
Molecule: non-coding RNA, 87 nt
Organism: Pholiota molesta
Lineage: Eukaryota; Fungi; Basidiomycota; Agaricomycetes; Agaricales; Strophariaceae
Source: the annotation of a GenBank genome assembly